Molecule: ribosomal RNA, 253 nt
Filed under: uncultured bacterium
Lineage: Bacteria
Description: partial 16S ribosomal RNA
Rfam family: Bacterial small subunit ribosomal RNA
Source: RNAcentral
UACGGGGGGGGCAAGCGUUGUUCGGAAUCACUGGGCUUAAAGAGUCCGUAGGCGGCUUGUUAGGUGAGGUGUGAAAUCCCUCGGCCCAACCGAGGAAUUGCGCUUCAAACCGGCAAGCUAGAGGAGGAUAGAGGUGGGCGGAACUGAUGGUGGAGCGGUGAAAUGCGUUGAUAUCAUCAGGAACACCGGAGGCGAAGGCGGUCCACUGGGUCCUAUCUGACGCUGAGGGACGAAAGCUAGGGGAGCGAACGGG